UCUCUCGCGUUUUUGUGCGCGUGUCUAUCUUAAGAUGAGGCUAAACGCAUUAAAUAUUAAACCAACCCACUGGACUGCUACGUCCACGGUGCGCGUGGAAUGCAGGAGCGAAAAAGUUGUCGCGCUAAACAAUUAGCUAGCGUUAGCUUAGCGUGCUAGCAUAAGCUAAGCCAACACAACACCUAGCCAGAUAUGUGUGCCGUUUAUUUUUGACACGACUAAUCACGUAUAAAGUUUAAUUUCUAGACUUCCUGUUCGGUUUGCUUGCAGGUGACGUUUUUAUAUAGCUAGCUAAUCCAGUGCUAGCCUAAUACGUAUUAGCCGGUUAUGCUAAAUCGAGUUCGUGCGGGUCCGAAAGCCUUUUCCCCCCCUCUCUCACACACACACUCUCUCGCCGCAAAAGCUCGGAUUCAUUCUCAAACGCUCGCAUGCGCAUUUCCCAAGCGCACUACGACAAAGUCUGAACGGACGGCACGCGCGCCCUACGUAGUGCACUACACGACAAAAUAGGAGCGUGUUUUGGGACCGAGCCUGCUAACUAGCCGUGCAACUUGCUCCGGCUAACUUCUCAUGAAUGACACCGUUAUAGCGUUAGCAUUUUGGUUAGAAUAGCAAACGCUGUUCUAUUAUUAUUGUUAUUAUUAAUUAUAAUUAUUAAUUAAAUAAUUAUGCAUUGCUUUAUUUGAAAUGUAAUGUCACAGAGUGAAAUAAAAUGUUGAGCUUGUCGCUUUUUAAUUUCCGUUGGGAAUGCGGUUGCUAGUUUAGCAGGAGGUGAGGUGUUAGCUAGCAACACGUUUGUUUUUGUUCACGUCUAGCCGGAUGAGCGAAGCGUUAAAUAUGCGUAUUAAAAUGAGAUUUAUGUUUUAAUGUAUGUUAAUUAUGAAGUGCUCGUCUCGUGAGUUGUGGAAACCCGGUUUAGACACACACACACACACACUGCACAAGGGGCCUGAUAAUUGAUAAACCAGGAGAAUCUUCUGGUUGCUGUUUUUUUUUUCUUUUCUGCAGGUGAAAUGAUUUCCUAGUCAGGAAUAAAGGUGAGUUCAUGAGUUGUAAAUAGUGUCUGCAGCUUCAUGAGGUUCUCUGGGAGUCCUCUUAAAUCCUGAAUUAAACCUGUAUAACUGUUUGCUGCCACAAAUUCCUUGUUGUUGUUGUGUGUGUUAAAGGAGAAGUCCACUGUGUAACACAUUAAACGUGUUUCUACAGAAAUAUUCCUGAAGUGUUUGGUGAACUUGCUCCUGGUUUGUUGCUGCGUACGGUAUUUGCAUUAUCGCUGUCACAAGAUCGCCGUCUGACGUCACAGGCGGACAUUCACGAACACGAUGUGGUUUAAUCCCGGCGUUCCGAAUGUUGAACUUCUGAGGUUUUUAAGUUAAGUAAAAUGAAUGCUCGCUGUAAUAACUUGUCUGCGAAACCCCAGACAACCCCGGCGCAAUUAUUGACGCACAAUUGCGCCGAAAACGGUGUUUAGCGCCUGUGCAGGCUCGGAGAGACAUCUGAACGGAUCUUUUCUGACUUCCCGGGUCUCACUUGGUCAUGAACAGAGCAUUAAGGCGGUCAAGUGAUUUUGUUGUCACGGUUGCCGUACGUAUUCCCCCCUUCACAUGUUCAUGCUGCAGUACGCUGCUACGAAUUAUCACUCGAAAGUACGCCAAAAUACAGAUCGUCAAAAAAAAACCCCUCCCAAAUAAACAACUAAUAAUAAUAAUAAUAAUAAUAAUGAAGGAAUAAUUGACGGAUGAAUCCAGAAUGAUCAGCUGGUUUUGAAGUCUCGCAUAUUAAUGAACUCUCUGGAAGCCCCGCCCCCUUUCCCACGUUUAAAGUUAGCAUCGUUUCAGUUGGUGCUGUUGUCUCGAACUCUAUGCGAGUCUUUUUUGUGGGCGGGAUUUUCCUUCUUGUAUAUCCUGAAACGUAUUCUUUCUUAACGUAUUUUACACGCUCCCUGGGAUUGGGUCCAAGUUCCCCCGCGACCCUGAAGAAGGAGUAAGCAGUAGAAGAUGGAUGGAUGGAUGGACGUAUAUUACACUUUUUUUUUUUUAAAGACAAUGAAACAUAUUUUAAAUAUAUAUAUAAGCUCAACAUAUAUUUUAAAUAUAUAAUUAUAUAUAAGGUUUAAAUAUAUAAUAUUAUUUGACCCUGAGCUAGAAGAACAUGGCUCGACAUAUACUAUCGUGGGUGUAAAAAAGUUUCUCGUUUUAUUUAUUUAUUUAUUUUCCAGCGUGAGAGAUGACAACUAAUGAAACGUGUGCAUGCGGGUGAGGUGUGAAUGGAAAAUCUAGAAGGAAUCGGAAAGAUAGAUAGGUUCUGUUCGUUAUAAACAAGGACCGAUCACACAAGCGUUUUAACCAUAAUAAGGUUAAGGAAGUCAUCAUCGUGUCCUUUUGACACAUGAUCGAAUGUCGGAGCUCGCCGGCAGAUGUUUUGUGGACGGGGACGGUCUAUCGUUUUAGUCUCAAGUUGCAGUAAUUGGAUACGACCUGUUUAAAUCCCACAGCUUGCAUUCGACAUUUAAGUCGGCCUCAUUUCACAGAAAGAUUGGAUGGAAAUUGCCUGGAAAUCUUCGCCGGUGCUUGGUUCUAAACUGCACAGCUUUGGUGCCCAUAUUCUGCUGAAGAGGAGAGCACCAGGAUGAGGAGUCAGUAGGCACCCUCCAUAGUAUGGCCGCGUCCCGUUCUUCGCGCGUCACAAGAUCAUCAGUGGGGUUAAAUGGAUUGGACGAGAACUUUUGUGGCCGAACCCUCAGGAACCGCAGCAUCGCACAGCCGGAGGAGACCUCGCCUCCUCCUACACCCAGAACUCGAUUGCCCUCGAAGAAGCAGGACUACCAGCAGGGUGGGACUCAGUCGGGGAAGGUAACCGAAGCCGAGUCCUUGCCCGCCCACAGGAAACGGGGCUUGUCCGUCUCGGAGAAAGACGAGCCGGAGAGGCCGGACGCCUCCGAAAGAGUUCGGGUUGGAGUAGGACAAGAAGCCUCCCCUUCCCUGAAGAGGGCUAAGCGGUGCGCUCGCUCAGGGGAAUCCCAAGGAACCGAGGAGGAACCUUCUCCCAAACCUGAGAGCCCUGAUCCGGCUUCAGGCAAGGACAAUGAUGAGGACUUUAAAUCGGACUUUGCUUCAAACUCGCCCUCAGAUUCGGGCUUGGCGCUGUCUGUCAGCCUCGACAAAGAGUGCGAGGAGGAAAAGGAUGAGGACAAGGAGCACAGUCUUUCUUUGCCAGGCAGCGAGUCCCACAAGGCAACCAAUGGCCUGGCUGAGGUCCAUAAGAAAGACUUAGAAUCUGCAGCCUUGCUUGCAGAGCCCUGUGCCUGCUCCACCACGCUCACGAACAGUCCCUCGCUGCCCAAUGGCAGCCAAGUGGCAGCUUCAACCCUGGACCCCAUUGUGCCUUGUACAUCCCUGCUUCUUAAACCGGUGGACGAGUCCAAUGGCCCUCAGGCCGACAGCGAGAAGAACUGCUCAGCCGAGGAGGCCUCCGAAGCUGUUCUGUCUCUGGAACCGGAGGUCGAGGUUGAGGUAGACGUUAUCGGGGAUACUGGCCCGGUCCAGGACGAGCAUGUGGCUGAGGAGAGCACUAACGGUGGCCUGCUUGUGGAUCUGCAGGACCCUUCAGACGAUUGCUCAAAUAUCUCAGGGGAAACAGCAGGGCUGACCUCCCAGCUUCCCGCGGAGCCGCCUUCCUUCACAGAGCCUCAAGAGCAUAGAUAUACCUUGAGGACUUCCCCUCGGCGCACUUCCUGUGUUAGUGGGCCAAGAUGCAGCUCCCCCAAGCCUGGUUCCCCUCACACGGAUAACGGAUUACUGAAGGACGACGUCGCGGUAGUUCCUCUCGACUCUGAUGACUCGGCCUGCCAUAAAGAACCUCGGACUGACGGGCCAAGUCUCGUUAGCGAGGCCGACAGCGAACUCUCCGAACACGUAGGGGCCAAGGUCAGUGAAGACACUGGCUUAUUGGAUAGUCGAGGUUCCAGAUCCACCAAAGAACCAGAGGAGGAAGACGCAGAGGAGGACGAUCCUGAUGUCUACUAUUUCGAGUCUGAUCACUUGGCUCUCAAACACAACAAAGACUAUCAGAGACUGCUCCAGACCAUCGGCGUGUUGGAGGCUCAGAGAACCCAGGCCAUCCUGGAUCUGGAGGCACUGGCUCGCCACCAGAAGCAGGCCCUGGCCAACCCCGUUGCCUUCGUGGACCAGCUUCAGAAGCAGGUGGAGUUGGGCUUGCCCUGUCCUCAGAGAGUCGUCCAGCUCCCCGAAAUCGCAUGGGACCAAUACACCUCAGGCCGCGGUGAAUUCGAAAGGGACUUCAGCGACGAGAAGCGCAAGACGAGGCGGUUGAAGUUAAUCUUCGACAAAGUGGGAUUACCAGCAAGACCGAAAAGUCCAGCUGAUUCCAAGAAGGAGAGCGACGUCUCCACUCUGUACUCGUCUCUGCCCUCCAGUGACGCCCCGGAGCACGGCACGCUCGGGAACAGGACGCAGAUGAUCAGAGGGAGACCGUAUCACCAGAGCAAACCGGACACGUUUAACCAGCUGUGGACGGUGGAGGAGCAGAAAAAGCUGGAGCAGUUGCUCCUCAAGUUCCCGCCCGAGGAGGUGGAGUCUAAACGGUGGCAGAAGAUCGCAGACGAGCUGGGGAACAGGACGGCCAAACAGGUCGCCAGCCGAGUGCAAAAGUAUUUCAUUAAAUUGACGAAGGCGGGAAUUCCAGUUCCGGGGCGAACUCCGAACCUGUGCAUGUACAACAAAAAGACCUCGAAUAAGAGGCAGCAUCACCUGAACAAGCACCUGUACCGGCCCUCCACCUUCCUGACGUCCUACGAGCCGCCCGUCUACAUGGAGGACGAGGACGAGCGCUCGAGCUUCAUCUGCGGUCUGCAGGAUGGCACGGCCAACGAUUCGGACGAGGACGUCGUACCGGUGGAGCUGAGGCACCUGCCAGAGUACAAAGAGCUGCAGGAGCUGAAAAGACUCAGGAAGCAGAAGAUCCACGAGCUCCAGAGCGAGAGCACCCUCGCACAGCACGUAGGCUACAAGUGCGAUAUGUGUGGCAUAGAGCCGAUCCAGGGCGUACGGUGGCACUGCCAGGACUGCCCCCAGGACAACGCCGUCGACUUCUGCGCCAACUGUGCCGACUGCGCGUUCAAGACGGACACGCACACGCCGAGUCACCGCCUGGAGCCGGUCCAGCAGGUCGAGGGCUUCCUGGACAGAGACUACUGCUUGCCUGCAAGCGCUGCCUACAACUACCUGGACCCCAACUACUUCCCGGCCAACAGAUGACAGGAGCGAGGCAGGGCCGCUCGAACCCGGGGCCGGACUCACUUCGUCCACUCACCAGAGGCAGAUCCGCUUACAGCAGGAGGACCCUGAACCACCGCUCUACCUGAGCUCACACGCCAUUGUCAACGCAAAAAGGGAGGGAGCGACGUCCCAAAUCGUCUCCGCUCUCCGUCACCCAGCUGCUGUCAAGCCUUUGUGUGUGUGUGUGUGUGUGUGUGUGUGUGUGUGUGUGUGUGUGAGAGAGAAGGUGGAAAUGAAAAGGGACUCGGUGCUGACUUUCCAUUCACGCCAGGUUUUUAACCAGGAGGAUUUGCUAACAAAUCAGACGUUCUUAAUUUACAGACCCUGAACACACUUUUACUAGAAGCUGCUUUUUUUUUUUCCCCCUCUCUUUUCUUCUCCCCCUUCCCCCUCUUUCACACCCCAAGACCUUACAUUAUGAUGUCGAUCAUGUGUUUGAUGAUGUUUUUGUUUAAUGUUAAAGCUCCAGCCCAUGAAGCACUACAGCACGGACAAGACCAGCUGAGAGACGCACUUGAAGGAAAAUACAAUAACAGGAUUUCAGCGUGAAACUCAACUCCUCCAUGGUUUAAAAGCCUGUAGCCAGACACAGAGCAGUAAGAGAUGAGAGUGACAGAGAGAGAGAGAGAGAGGGAUGCUCCAUCAAUAUGUAAUAAUACAGAUACGCAGUUAGAGAAGAACCACGACGUGCAAAACGACUGGAAACGAUUCCGUGGGUGUUUCAGGACAUCGCUGAGGAUCCUGAGCCGGUGACGUGGGCGGUCCAGAAGGGAUGAUGAUGACUUACCGCUAAGAAGGCACGUGUAUCUGCACAUGCAUACGCACUCCUACACGUCAAAGACUACAGUACAAACUAGAUAUGUUGGAAGCACUGGAUUGUAAAUGAAGCCCUCGUACAGACACUAGAACCCCUUUUUCUCUCCUUCUCUCUCUCUCGCUGAAUCAUGAAUCCCAGCCGAGCUCCAGCUCAUUAGCGAGGCUAACCUGUUACGGAGGAGUGCAGCGCUUCCAGUACUUGUGGAGGAGAACGUGGGCGGCACAGGAAGUGUUCGAUGUUCAGUCCUGCCUGUUUUGCGCAUUAGACUUACAAAACCGCUGGCCUCAUUCGCGUUGCGUUCUUUCUCUUCUCUUCUCUCCUGACUUCUACGAAAGUUUGUGCCCUUCCCCCCGAAACCAACCAACAUCGUCUUUGGAUCUUUUACGAAGGGCGCAAACACACCUUCAGCGCAGAAUUCAGACUCUCGUCUCUUGCUUUCGGAGAGAUGACUCGUCCCGUUGAUGCGUGCCGUUAAUAGAAACGCUGUUUGUUCUCGCCGCUGAACUGAGCGGAGGAUGUUGAGAAAAAUCUCGAGAGUGGUGUGAACAGGGUGUGGGCAGCACCGCCACGCUGAGCGCUGCGGGUUCUCUCUUUGUACCACUCUCUGGACCCACACACACACACGCACGCUGAGAACUGCUUCAUCUGUGCCCGUGUUUUCACUUCCAUUAUCUACCGAGCGGCUCUCGGCCCACACCUCCACUCUAAAGUAGAUUUAUUAGGUACGGCUUUGGAGGGAUUACAGACCUAACUGAUCUUCCUGUAUUUGGUUCUUAGGAGUAUACGUUUGAGUGCAUAAGUUUGUACACCCCAGGACAAAAUGGCUGCCCACACACAGGGAGAAAUAGAAUGAAGACGUUUGUAUGUUAAGUAAGGUUAAGUAAACGUACUAAGUCGCAGAGCCGGCACUCUUCUGAAUCUGUCGAUUCAACGAGCGCCCUCCGCAGCCGAUUUGAGGACUCGUUUUUUUUUAACGUGCCUCGUUCGCUUAGUGACGAAUUAAGGAGAUGGGCCGGCGCCAGAGCACUUGGCUGUGUCCUAACGACGUGUUUAAACGUGUUAUAACGCCGACAGCACUGAGUCCCGCUCCCGAACUGCUGGAUUAAAGGUUCGGCGUUAGCAUGAAAUGAGGAGUGAAUGAGGCAGGAAGUGAACUGAAAGGGACUCUGUGUACCUGCUCGUCGAAUCUGGACGGAGCAUCGGGCAGGCUGGUGCUGUCGGCUAGCACGCUCAGAUCAAGCUCGCUCGGGCCUGCGGAGAAAAUACACAAGAAUAUCAAUGAAAAGCAAUUCUCGAUCCUGAUUGGUCAGAAAGGGUUGACGCAUUAAAGAUCUCUACGACUCAAACGAUGCGAUCGAUAUGUCGUUUAGUUUGGAGUUAAAUGUGUAAAGUGUGUAUUUCUGGUGUGUACAUUUCAUGUCAGUCUGAUUCUACCGUAGUCCAAGAGUCUGAGCGCUUAUGGCUUGCUCCGUCCUGCUCUCCGUCUCGGUUGCACUCGGAAACAAUUUUGCGGCUGAUUUGUUCUGACAAACCGCGAGAGUAAACCCUGACCUGCGCUUUCAUCCUGCCUUUCAUCCUGAUUCAGGAGUCGUGCAUGACGCACGAGUGUGGCUUCAAAGGUUAUGUGCUAUAGACACGAGCAUUAUAUGCUUCUCUUAUUUAGGAGUCCAAUUUAAACAAAACAUGAUGUACUUAAUGUUCUUAUGGUUGUUAAAUUGGACAUUUGUGCCUCGGGUGUUUCAUUUGAAAUCCAAUCCACCGACAUUUUGCAUAAUUAAACCCUUUUUUUAUUUUAAUUAUGCAAAUGUACUGACGUUAUAUUGUUUAUACGAGUGGAAUGAGUAGUUUAUUGAGUACCGUUUUGUCUUGGCAGAUUGAUAACAUCACGACCGUGCCAUGUCACCGAUAACGACUCGAACGAACCAGGAGUCGGGCGAGUUUAUAAUGAGUUAUAAUCUCAUUAGCAUGUGCACUACCACAGCGUUCUGUUCGUCCUCUACGGGUAGAUCUGCGCUAAUGAUGUUUACUUUCAUUUCCCAUCAAAUAAUCCUCGUCGUCCCCGGGUUAUGUUAUCGCCUCGACAAUCAAUCUCUUCCUUUUACGUCAACCGACGUUUACCGACGAGGAUCAGAGCCGUUCUGCUUCUCGAUAAAACGCUUAUAAACGGCGCAAAUCUAAACGAGCGCCGAGAGCUGCUUCUGCACGUCCGAGAAAUAGAUUCAGCCCCGAAAAAGUGGCUCUUUUUAAAGAAGUAAAAUCACCGGCACGUU
Molecule: RNA transcript, 8384 nt
Organism: Ictalurus furcatus (blue catfish)
Lineage: Eukaryota; Metazoa; Chordata; Actinopteri; Siluriformes; Ictaluridae
Gene: zzz3
Gene name: zinc finger, ZZ-type containing 3
Exons: 15
Source: RefSeq, a predicted model, not a curated record